CCGUUUCAUCUUUUUGUGCCCUUUCUUGAGACUCUAUUUCUUUUCUCCCAUGGCAGCUUUGAUUUUUUAGUUUCUUCCCUACAACAAACCCAACCACAACCUAAUCUAAUCGACCACCCACCCAAGUCCUUGUCUCUUUGUCUACUCUUCGGCACCCAUACCCUAAGAGAGUGUUUGGUUCGAGGAAAAAUUAUAUCACUGGUUGAAAUCACUACAAAAAUAUGUAAUUUUAAAGGUAUUUAUUUCUUGGGGGUUUGGGGAGCAGCCGGUGCUUUCCUAUAAUACUUUGUAUUUCUUUUGAGAAAAAUGAAACUGCCGCUAAACACAAAUGAUUUAGCACUAAUAGCCUCUAAUAAGAAAUAAAAACACCAUCCUUUCCCGAUGAUCUUUCUUCAAACCAAAUUUUUUCAGUCUCGCAUCUUUUACGUGAUUUUCUUUUUUUCACCUCUCUCUCUUUUUGUUCUUCUCCCGUCUUUAUUGAUUGAAAAAUUAGAAAAUCAUACCCUAACUUUUGAAAAUCAAAGUCGAAAUCAUCUCAAAUCAAUUUUCUCCCAUAAGAUUUGAAGCUAUUUCCCCAUUUUUUGAAAAUCAAACCCUAAUUUUUGAAAAUUACCAUUUUCACCAUCUUCUUCGUCAUCUCUACCACAAUUGAUUCAUCUUGUUAUUGGUAAAAUCAUUUCUUCAGUGAGAUAAUUUCACCAAAAUAAGUGAUGCAAAGCGACUAACAGCAUAAAUGAUGCUUCAUUUAUAAUUUUGGUUUUUAUGCAAGUCGAGUGCGUUAAUCACUAAGAAUGGUUGUUUAUAAUGUUUAGUCUACUGCUGUUUAUGCAAUUAUCAAGAUUAUUUGCCUCUGGACUCGAAGUAAACUGAAAGAUUUUCGUUGCAGAUCACAUAGCGUAUUCAAAUUUGUAUGGUCAUGAAUUGUUUUAUUUGAACGACAAUCUAGAUUAAAAGUCGGCAAUUUCUUUCAUUCUUGGGUUUCUAACGUACAACUGCUUCUUCAAUUUAGGUGUCCCACAAUAUUUUCUUUUCCCUUUUCUUUUUUCUUUUUGUAAUUUUAUGGGUUUAAUUCUAUGAACAUUUCAAUUAUGUUAUGAGAUUUUUUUUUUGUUUGAGGAAAUAGAUGGUAUUUUUUUUUAUUCUUUUCUCUGCUAUUAAUAGAUUAAAAAAAUUAGAAAAUCAUAACCCUAAUUUUUCCUGUUCUAACUCCGCGUUGUCAUUUUCUUUGUCAUCUCCCGACACCGCCAUAUUGGACAAUGGAUUUGUAUCCAAUUAAAACAAAUGUGUGAUGAAUUGAAACUUUAAUGGUAUUCCUAGCAUUGUGCCUUCAAUCAGUCAGCAUAUGCCUUGUUAGGCUGAGGAAAGAUAUUAAAAAGCGUGCGCUAUUUGCGAUAUUUUAUAGUUUUCAUUAAUAGUCAUUGCUAAUUUAGUAAUAUUUAGGUUGCAGCAAUUGUUACCCAACCACCUUCUAGAAGAGAUAGGGGCAGAAAUGU
This 1493-nucleotide long non-coding RNA is filed under the name Durio zibethinus. RNAcentral describes it as "long non-coding RNA (DZIB_LNC000740)". The record is from RNAcentral. Lineage: Eukaryota; Viridiplantae; Streptophyta; Magnoliopsida; Malvales; Malvaceae.